CCUGUGGGCUUUCUGUCUGUGUCAGCACUGCAGCUCUCCGCCAGCGGGUACACCUCAGAACCUGCCUCGUGAAUGAGCAGCAAACCCAGGAGGUCUACCAAACUUCAGUGGCUGCUGGAGCAACCGGAUCAUGUAAGUGGGACAUGGAAGCUAAGGCCGUGAGGCACACCUAGGAGUUCUCCAGUCUUGCAGGUUUUCUUCGCUGACAGGAGCAGCGGGCUACCCUGAGCCCAGGUGGUGGAGGUCUGCUGGCUUUAGCCGCGGGGCAGAGGACAUUGGAUGAUGCAGCCUUCCUAUACAUGGCGCCUUAGCAGCUCGAAGGCAUCCAGCAACAGCCUCAGCCGCAGUUAGAGAAUUCAACAUGAUCCAGACUAGAUGGGCAGCAGGACAGCGGCUGAGGGCUGGGAUCGUUUCUGGGAUGAGGGAGACUCUUCUAGGGCAAGGGUGUCAGCUGAGGUCCCGCAAUGACAGGUCUCCGGAACUUGCACAUAACUAGAUCACUAGGGAGACCACAGCUCUUAAUUAUGAUGCAAAUCACACAGAAUGGUCCCUGGAGGAAAUGAGAGUCACUAAAAUGAGACAACAUAGAUUUAUUAUGUCCAUCCUGCCUCAAGGGAGGCACCGUCCCUCAGACGUCCACAAUGCUUUUGCAGCCUCGGUGUUCCAUGCUCACUUCGGCAUAGCUUGGGGACCUUGACAGGGCAGUCCCUCUUUGUGCCACGAAGAUCACAUUAUCUAGAUUAAAGUGCUGUGAUACACCAUCCAGUGCUCAGUGUCCCGUGCAGAUGGCUUCCGUAGAGUCCCCCUCUGGCCACCACUGUAGGACUCUCUGGGCAGUGCCUGCAGUCAGGGCUUCAGUACCCAGGGUAU
Non-coding RNA from Myodes glareolus (Bank vole), 870 nucleotides. Lineage: Eukaryota; Metazoa; Chordata; Mammalia; Rodentia; Cricetidae. The record is from RefSeq and is a predicted model, not a curated record.